AAAACGCGAAAUGUGUUAUAAAGUGCAGUCUUUGUGAAUCAUGAAUCUUUGAACGCACCUUGCACCACAUUACCAGUGGUAUGUCUGUUUGAGGGAGGUAACAUUGUGGAAGUGAUUCUGGGAUGGGGUUUGGAUUACGUUGUUAAUGCUGCCCUCAAAGAGAAGCAAUGGUGAAUGGGAUAAUUCCGUACUUUCACUAACCAAUCAUAUUUCUCCUCAAAUCAGGCAAGAUGACCCGCUGAACUUAA
Molecule: unclassified non-coding RNA, 248 nt
Filed under: uncultured fungus
Lineage: Eukaryota; Fungi
Description: sequence contains ITS1
Rfam family: 5.8S ribosomal RNA (bases 1-98)
Source: RNAcentral